This is a long non-coding RNA of Panthera uncia (snow leopard), 2267 nucleotides long. RefSeq lists it as uncharacterized. The transcript has 4 exons. Lineage: Eukaryota; Metazoa; Chordata; Mammalia; Carnivora; Felidae. The record is from RefSeq and is a predicted model, not a curated record.
UACAAAAUUCCUCAAGAAAGAGAAUUUGCUCAGAAUUCUUUCUUGGAAGGCCAAGAACAAAAUUCCUUUUUUGGACAGAAUACGAGCCUUCCCUCAGGCCUUCUCCCUCAUGUUCCCCAUUCCUUCCAGGUCCUGGACAUCUAGAUCUGGGAUUCCUGCAACUCCAACCAACUGGUGAAGGAUUUAGAGUUCAAGGCAUCAGUUUUGAAAAAUCCAGGGUGGUUCAAGCUUCAAUGGCCUGAAUAGGAAAUAAGUACUGAUUUUUUAACUGAGCCUGCAUAAACUACUCUAAAGGGAUGCCUUUGUCAGUGAGAGACCUAAUUCUUUAUCAUCCUCCAGAGCAGGGCUCUGUGAAAGCAGGAACUGUGUGGUCUUCAGCUUGCUGGGCACCUACAACUAGAACAGGAGUAUGGCAAAUGUUCAACAAAUAUUCGUUGAAUCACUACAGAGGACCUAAGAAUAAUAACUAUAUUCAACAAGGGCACACUGGGAUAACAAGUCAUGUUACAGCUGAGGCCAAAGGAAGGGCACAGUUACCAGUCAAGCUGCAGAAUAGCCUCAUCUGGACUGAAGUAAAACUAUUUAGGAUGGAAAUAGUUGUAAUACCAACACAGGUGCAUUUUAACACAAAGAAAGUAUUUAAAAUUUAAUAUGAUGGAAAUUAAUUAGAGGAGUUUUCAAGGAGAUUUUAAAAAGGGAGCUUGAUCUAUAUAGAUAUUUGAUGUCACACUGUGAGAAGCUCAUUAAAUACAAAAUGGUAACUAAAUAAUAGUUUGAAAGCAAAAUGAGCAAAAAGGUUCUGUGAAUGAAGGAUGGAGAAUUGGAAAAUCAUAUGCUAAUCCUUUAAAUUCCAGUUACUUUUAUGCUUAAUUUAUACUCAGAACUACCCAGGGAUUAAUAUAGCAGGCCAGUAAUGAUUGAAAAAUCUAUAUUUUCUAAGUAAAAUAUAAAUAUUUGAAGUGCUCUGCAUCACCAGGAAGACUAUAAUAUCAGGUGCAUGUCUGCUCUACUUUUUCCAUUUAAUACUACGCUUCAUUUCUAGAGCUUUUAUAUGAGGUUGCCUAAUAACAAUGGUUAGUUAUACUUAAUUACUCAGGAACAACAGAGUAGAAGGCCACGACCAACUCUGUGGCAUUAUGGAAAUCUAUAUCACAACUUUUUACCUACUAAAAUAAAGUACAGUUGUUCUCAGUUUGUAGGUCUCCAGUAUACACAAAUUUCAGCUUUCACAGUUUAAAUAACAUCAGUCCUCCAACAAGUGCAGUUCAAGUUUUAGUCACCACGGCUAGAUCUUUCAUCUACAAACACUAUAUAAAUAACAGAUGUGCAUCAAGAUCUGUGACCAAUUAUGCCACUUCUUUUAAAGUUGGUCAGUGGGUGGAUUGGUCACUGUGUGUCUGUUCUUCAAUUUAUACACCGACAGCAAAGUGUGAGGCCGUGUUUCCCCCUUUUUUCCCCCCACCUACGUGGCAUUUUACAAACAUGGAUGAUGGUAAGAGGGAAUGGGUUAACAGAUGAAAGUGCAACAAAAGAAUAAAAAGUGAUAAUGUAGAGGUGAAAUUUGAACCACUUUUAAUGGAGCUAUAGAAGAAAUGGCUGACCACAGGAAAUGUUGACAUGGUCACCAUUCAACUCUGGAUAUGCAACCAGAGGAACUUAAUGAAGAUAAACUUGCGGACAAAAAUGAGAAAAGUGCUUGUGAUGAAAAGGGGGAAGAUGAUCCCAAAGUAAAGAUGCUGUCAAUAUUUCACAUUAAAGGAAUUCUUAGAUAUUUUAUGAUUUGAAAGUGCAAAGGAAAAAAAAAAUUGGAAGCUGAUCCAAACUAAGAAAGGAAUAUGCCAAUUUGCCACAGCAUAAAAAUGAUGCUAACUUCAUGUAAGUUAUAUAAUGUGAAGGCAAGCACUAUCCAAAUUACCCAUAACUUUUUUGACAAAGAAACAAUAUUUUUAAUGUUUUUAAGAAAAUUUUUUUUUAACGUUUAUUUAUUUUUGAGACAGAGAGAGACAGAGCAUGAACGGGGGAAGGGCAGAGAGAGAGGGAGACACAGAAUCUCAAACAGGCUCCAGGCUCCGAGCUGUCAGCACAGAGCCCGACGCGGGGCUCGAAUUCACGGACCAGGAGAUCAUGACCUGAGCCGAAGUUGGCCGCUUAACUGACUUAGCCAUCCAGGCGCCCUAUUUUUAAUGUUUUAAGUCAUGGUGUAAUAAAUACUAGUUUUACUAUUUUUUGAUCAUUUCCCUAUGUAUUUAAAACAGAGUUUUUAAACU